Molecule: transfer RNA, 73 nt
Filed under: Camelus bactrianus (Bactrian camel)
Lineage: Eukaryota; Metazoa; Chordata; Mammalia; Artiodactyla; Camelidae
Also listed under: 2 other names
Rfam family: tRNA
About the family: Transfer RNA (tRNA) molecules are approximately 80 nucleotides in length.
Source: Rfam by way of RNAcentral
GAGGGUAUAGCUCAAGUGGUAGAGCACAUGCUUAGCAUGCACAAGGUCCUGGAUUCAAUCCCCAGUACCUCUU